Long non-coding RNA from Oncorhynchus mykiss (rainbow trout), 3944 nucleotides. NCBI's taxonomy places the organism in Eukaryota, Metazoa, Chordata, Actinopteri, Salmoniformes, Salmonidae. The record is from Ensembl.
CUGAAGGAGGACUAUCUGGAUGGGGGACAGUGGAUCUGUGUGUGAUUGGAGCAUAUCUGGGGAAGGGCAAGAGAACAGGGACCUACGAAGGAUUCCUGCUCGCCCCCUACGAUGAGGACUAUGAAUAGUUCCACUCAGUCUGCAAGGUCUGUCUGUGUGUGUGUCAGGGGUGUCUUUGUAUGUCUGCGUAUGUCUGCUUAUGUCUGUGUGUACCUCCUUGCCUAGGAGGUGACUUUUUGUCUUUCUCUGUCUCGGUUGGUUUGUCUCUCUGAAAGGUGAGAGUGCCUCAGUCCAAACAGGAUAAAGAUUGGGACAGGUUUCAAGGAUGAAGAUUUGGAGCAACAGUACAAAUUCUUCAAGGAGCACAUUUUGCCCAAGCCCCACCCCUAGCAUCGUGUGGACCUAUCAACAGAGCCUGAUGUGUGGCUUGAUGCCGUGCAAGUAUGGGAAGUGAAGUGUGCAGACCUAUCGCUGUCGCCAAUCUACAAGGCUGGCAUGGGAUUGUGUGACCCAGAGAAGGGCAUCUCUCUUCGGUUCCCACGCUUCCUGAGGAUCCGAGAUGAUAAAAAGCCAGAGGAUGCAACUUCAGGAAGACAGGUAGUUGAUUACACUGCUGUGACAGUGUAUCUCGUAGUUCCGAAUUUCUCUGGUUGCAUUCCCAAAUGUUUUUCUAUGCAGGUUGUCCAAUCAAAAACGGGUAUUUUGACAAAUGGGUCAACUCAAUGGUUCAAACCUCAUUCCCCUAUCAUAAUCAAUUCAAAAGUUAUUGGAGUUUUUACCCUUGUAGAAUGGCCAAAAUUAGGGUGAGUAAAUCAAAAUAAUUGCACAGCAUCUGCUUCUUUUCUUUCAUUCUAGAUCUAUGCUUCCCUCCUCUGUGUUUCAGCUUCUCCCACAUAUAUACACACAGUACAUUUUAUUCCACCAAUUUUGAUAUUCUGUGUUUAUCCCCCUGUAAUUUGAUAUAAAUUGGCCCUCGUACCAUCAUGGCCACCUUAUCCUCAGCUUCCAAUUGGCUCAUUCAUCCCCUCUCCCCCUCACUGAUUUCUUUGUUCUGUCCCAUUUCAGAUUGCUGAUUUGUACAGAAUCAGGGAGACAAAGCUGACCUUGAGGACUACUACUGACCUCAUCAACGGACCGGCCAGUCGCCAAUGACUCGGGUGAAAUCUCAAUUUGUACAUAUAUAAAAUAAAUGGUAUGGUAAACUUGAACAAGGCUCUGUCGAUGCAAUUAAAAAUUUAAAAAAAAAACAUAUAUUUUAUAUUUUUUAACUCUGCACAGCAGUGUCUAUAUCCAGGUGCUGGUUUAGGCUCUGCCAAUGUCAUUAUAAUCAACAUUUUGUGUGUGUUGGUGUUGAGCCUAAUGCUCAUUUUUGUAAACGUAUACUUAACAGUAUAAAUAAAAUAUGUCUUCCCCAGUUUUCAAUGACACAAAUAAAUCACACUAAUGACAAUGUGAAUAAAGGCUUUGCUAAUUUUAUAAUAUCAAACAUAUUGGGUGUUGAUUUUAUCCUGUCCUAAGCUUAAUUUUACCGAUUGAUAGUGUUGGUUUCCCAGACACAGUUUAAGCCUAGCCCUGGACUAAAAAACACUUAUGCUUUUUAAUCCUGUUCUAAAUUUCAUCUGUGUUCAGGAAACCGUCCGAUACAGUAUUGAGAACACCAAGACAUUGAAGACCUUCAUCUUCGGUAUUCACUUGUAAUGCAUAUCUCAGUAACACUACCUGAAACAUGCAGGUAUGCUUUAAAACUUGUUCUAAGCAUGUAUGAGCCAUUAUCCUUUUGUCUUAAGGUUUAUCAUUCAUGCAGUGAGUGAAAUGAAGAUCCCUUUAUGGUGUCCUAUGAGCCACCUGGUGCAAUAAGGAUGAGGUGCUGAGAAGAGUUGAAUAACACAUACAUAAUCCUAGCAGUACGCAGAGACUUGAAUACUGUCGAGAAGUCAACAAAGCUCUAACUUCCCCCUAAGUACCUCUCAUUCUUACAGCUUCAGUCCAGUAUGGUGUGCAUCCCAAAUGGCUGCCUAUUUUUGUCAUAGUGCACUACUAUAGUGAAUAGGGGGCCCAUUUAGGAUGCCCCCAACCAACGUCAGAAUGUAAGGAUAAAUGCCCUUCUGUUUUUCCCCAUCACAAAUAGUGUAAAGUCCUUAAGUAGUGUAGUUUAAAGUAUUUUUACUUUUACAUUUUUUGGGGGGGAUCUUUACUAUUAAUAUUUUUGACUACUUUUACUUCACUACAUUCCUCAAGAAAAAAAAAAACUUUUUACUCCAUACAGUUUCCCUGACAACCAAAAGUACUCAUUUACAUUUUGAAUGGGUAGCAGGACAGGAAAACUGCAAAAUUCAUGCACUUACUCUAUCAAGAGAACAUCCCUGGUCAUCCCUAUUGCCUCUGAUCUGGCGGACUCACUAAAUGUGUUGGGAGUGUGCCCCUGGCUAUCUGUAAAUAACAAGAAAAUGGUGCCUUCUGGUUUGCUUAACAUAAGUCAUUUGAAAUAUUUGUACUUUUACUUUCAAUACUUAAGUAUAUUUUGCCAAUUACAUUUACUUUAGAUACUUAAGUAUAUUUAAAACCAAACCCUUUUAGACUUACUCAAGUAGUAAUUCACUGGGUAACUCACUUUUACUUGAGUCAUUUUCUAUUAAGGUAUCUUUACUUUUAUUCAAGUAUGACAAGUGGGUGCUUUUCCACCACUGCUGCUCGCAUUGAUUGUGUCCUUGGAACUGAAGAGGUUAAUUCUAGUCUACCCAAUAGGCCUUACAAAAAUAUCCCGACUCUAGGUUACAAAUAUUGACAAUUCCUCUCUUACAAAUAUUACAGUACACUACAGUGUGUAACAGUACACUGUGACAUCUCAACAGUUCACCAGAGUCAAAUUAACACUCCCACACAAAACAAGAUUCCCUGCAGAAACAUUGCAACGAGACAUGCGAUUUCUUUAAGACGUGUUAUUAUGCAGAAUAUCAGUGUAACGUUUCUAAAUGUACGGUGUAUGUGCAGAAGAACAAGGACGAAGCAAGGAGAGCGUCUGGUACAUUAUAAAAUGCAAACGGGUUGACAGCUCAAGGAGCAGUGCAAAACAGAUGCAUUUCCCAGCCUGCAUUAGAUGAUGAAACUCCACAAGUCAGUAGACGGAAUCAAGAAUCAAUCCACUACAAGAAGACUCAGGCCAGAGAAGAGAGUCAAGGACACAUGGUCAUUAUAGGAAGUAAAGAGGAUUGUAGCGUUCUGGGAAGCUAGUUAGAUGCCAUACAUGGUGUUUGUGUCUGAAAUGCCACCCAAUUCCUUACAUAGUGCACUACUUUUGUCCAGAGCACAUCUGGUCAUAAGUAGUGCACUAUGCAGGGAAUAGGGUGCCAUUUGGGCCACACACCCAGAAUGAAUGUUGUGGAAGUGAGUGGGCUGUGAUGUGACCUGUGCUUGAGCUUCAGUGUCUGCUUCUGCAAGGGAGGAGGGGGAGGAGAAGGGCUGCAUUGUGCCAGCCUGGGCAUGGAAAUGUAGAUUUUGUUGCCCUUUCCCAUCUGUUUAUGUCAUUGUGUUUUCUCUCUCUGCCUCUACUCAUCUCCACAACUUUCCCUUUUUCUUUCUUUCUCUCCCCCUCUCCUUCUCUUUCUCUGCAUGUCUCAACAUGUGGCUUCCUUUCCUAUCUAGCUCAAUUUUGAAUAAAUGGCAGAUUUAGAUUUUAUGCUUAUUAUUUUUCAUCAUUAAUUAAUACCUGAAGCAAGGAAGAAGCAGUUAAUGUUUGCAUGGUGGAAUAUUAGCUAUUUAUAUUAUAAUAUUAGUCUCUGCCCCUGUUGGUGUUGCUUCUGAUAAUUAAAAAUAAUACCUGAAACUAGGAAGUAGCUGAAUGUUUGCACAGUAGAAUAUGAGCUGAAGACUUCUCUGCUCCUGUGUUGUUUCAGUGCAGCAGCAGUGUGUUGUGUUGUGGUGUUGCAGACUGAGGGGAGGAGUGG